This 85-nucleotide transfer RNA is filed under the name Felis catus (domestic cat). It matches the Rfam family "tRNA". Rfam says of the family: Transfer RNA (tRNA) molecules are approximately 80 nucleotides in length. Lineage: Eukaryota; Metazoa; Chordata; Mammalia; Carnivora; Felidae. The record is from Rfam by way of RNAcentral.
ACCUGGGUGGCUCAGUCGGUUGAGCGUCUGACUUUGGCUCGGGUCAUGAUCUCACAGUUCAUGGGUUCGAGCCCCAUAUUGGGCU